GUAACUGCGAGUGAAGCGGGAAGAGCUCAAAUUUAAAAUCUGGCGGCUUUUUGGUCGUCCGAGUUGUAACCUGGAGAGGCAUUUUCCGCGUUGGACCGUGUACAAGUCUCCUGGAAUGGAGCGUCAUAGAGGGUGAGAAUCCCGUCCAUGACACGGACCGCCAAUGCUUUGUGAUAUGCCUUCGAAGAGUCGCGUUGUUUGGGAAUGCAGCGCAAAAUGGGUGGUAAAUUCCAUCUAAAGCUAAAUAUUGGCGAGAGACCGAUAGCGAACAAGUACCGUGAGGGAAAGAUGAAAAGCACUUUGGAAAGAGAGUUAAACAGUACGUGAAAUUGUUGAAAGGGAAACGCUUGAAGUCAGUCGCGUUCCGUGGAACUCAGCCUUACUUCGGUUUGGUGUACUUUCCAUGUGAACGGGUCAACGUCAAUUUUGGCCGGUGGAUAAAGGCAAAGGGAAUGUAGCGUUGCUUCGGUGACGUGUUAUAGCCCCUUGUUGUAUACACCGGCUGGGAUUGAGGACCGCAGCACGCCCUUGUGGCCGGGGGUUCGCCCCACGUACCGUGCUUAGGAUGUUGGCAUAAUGGCUUUAAGCGACCCGUCUUGAAACACGGACCAAGGAGUCUAACAUGCUUGCGAGUGUUCGGGUGGAAAACCCUUGCGCGUAAUGAAAGUGAAAGUUAGGAACCUUCUCGCAAGAGGGGGUGCACUGACGCCCGGCCCUGACGUUCUCUGACGGUGCUGCGGUAGAGCAAGUAUGUUGGGACCCGAAAGAUGGUGAACUAUGCCUGAAUAGGGCGAAGCCAGAGGAAACUCUGGUGGAGGCUCGUAGCGAUUCUGACGUGCAAAUCGAUCGUCAAAUUUGGGUAUAGGGG
Molecule: ribosomal RNA, 868 nt
Filed under: Fulvifomes sp. SP-2012b
Lineage: Eukaryota; Fungi; Basidiomycota; Agaricomycetes; Hymenochaetales; Hymenochaetaceae
Description: eukaryotic LSU rRNA
Rfam family: Eukaryotic large subunit ribosomal RNA
Source: RNAcentral